ACAGUACAAACUGAGCAGACCGUGACAUAGUCAUGGAGUCGGGUCACAUGGUGACAGUGGAACAUUUCAGCCCACGGGACAGU
RNAcentral lists this non-coding RNA (83 nucleotides) under pig gut metagenome. Its description in RNAcentral is "NiCo riboswitch". It matches the Rfam family "NiCo (Nickel/Cobalt) riboswitch aptamer". The record is from RNAcentral.